This 419-nucleotide ribosomal RNA is filed under the name bacterium. RNAcentral's name for it is "partial 16S ribosomal RNA". It matches the Rfam family "Bacterial small subunit ribosomal RNA", at positions 355 to 776 of the family's 1533-position model. The record is from RNAcentral.
UGGGGGAUAUUGCACAAUGGGCGAAAGCCUGAUGCAGCGACGCCGCGUGGGGGAUGAAGGCCUUCGGGUUGUAAACUUCUUUUGCUCUGAACAAGGCGCACCAUGGGGUGUGUUGAGUGUAGGGGUUGAUUAGCGCCGGCUAACUACGUGCCAGCAGCCGCGGUAAUACGUAGGGCGCGAGCGUUGUCCGGAUUUAUUGGGCGUAAAGGGCUUGUAGGUGGCUGGUUGCGUCUGUCGUGAAAGCUCAUGGCUUAACUGUGGGUUUGCGGUGGGUACGGGCUGGCUUGAGUGCAGUAGGGGAGGCUGGAAUUCCUGGUGUAGCGGUGGAAUGCGCAGAUAUCAGGAGGAAUACCGGUGGCGAAGGCGGGUCUCUGGGCUGUUACUGACACUGAGGAGCGAAAGCAUGGGGAGCGAACAGG